ACAGAGGGUGCAAACGUUGUUCGGAAUUACUGGGCGUAAAGCGCGUGUAGGCGGCUCAGCAAGUCGGAUGUGAAAGCCCUUGGCUCAACUGAGGAAGUGCAUUCGAAACUGCGGAGCUUGAGUCCCGGAGAGGAUGGUGGAAUUCUCGGUGUAGAGGUGAAAUUCGUAGAUAUCGAGAGGAACACCGGUGGCGAAGGCGGCCAUCUGGACGGUGACUGACGCUGAGACGCGAAAGCAUGGGGAGCAAACA
Molecule: ribosomal RNA, 250 nt
Filed under: uncultured bacterium
Lineage: Bacteria
Description: partial 16S ribosomal RNA
Rfam family: Bacterial small subunit ribosomal RNA
Source: RNAcentral